Transfer RNA from Fomitopsis pinicola, 78 nucleotides. It matches the Rfam family "tRNA". From Rfam's summary of the family: Transfer RNA (tRNA) molecules are approximately 80 nucleotides in length. NCBI's taxonomy places the organism in Eukaryota, Fungi, Basidiomycota, Agaricomycetes, Polyporales, Fomitopsidaceae. The record is from Rfam.
GGCUCAAUGGUGUAGUGGUUAUCACACCUGUCUUACAAGGGACACAGGUGGUCGCCGGUUCGAUCCCGGCUUGAGUCA